This 71-nucleotide transfer RNA is filed under the name Metriorrhynchini sp. UPOL 000498. RNAcentral's name for it is "tRNA-Glu". Lineage: Eukaryota; Metazoa; Arthropoda; Insecta; Coleoptera; Lycidae. The record is from RNAcentral.
AUUUUUAUUUAUAUAGUUUACACAAAAACAUUACAUUUUCAUUGUAAAAUUAAAUUAUUCUUAUUUUAUAA